GAAGCAAAACUGAAGCUGAAGCAUAACUUUUGGGUUGUGUUUUUUGCCUUUAACAACCACAAGCUGAAGGGAGCCGAGCCACUUCCACCAGGCAAGUGAUUUAUCUUGUUAUAGGAAAGUUCAUUUUUUAACUAAAGAACAAGUCUGUACACACAGAAAUCCAUCAGCAAUGUUUUUCACAGGGUAACACGGUGGAUUUCACUUUUUCCACGUUUCCCUGGGCAGAUGUGAACACCUGGGUGGAGGUUUUAAGCUGUUUUCAGACCUGCUUUGUUUUCCUCUGCUCCUUUUCGUGAAGUCCUUGGAGAAAUGGUCUCCUGUCCCUGACAGCCACCCAGGCUGUGGGCCCCGAGCCAUGGAGAUGAGCCACUUGGCUUAACUCACACAGCAUUUGUGGUGCUUGUGACCUAUUAACUGACUCCAUAAAAAAGAAAGAAUGGGUAAAUUAGCAUAAAUAUUGCACUUGUGAUUUGAUUAAAUUGUGCUCGCAGCUGCCUUUGUAAUAAGGGGUGGCAUUAAGUUAAGUUUGCUGUGCAAAAAUCCUGGCUCCAAGGAAAUUCUGGGAAGAGCAGGUGCCUCACCUGGGUUUCCUGAAGGUGGAAUGACCACAAGGGUGCCCAACCUUUUCACAACCUUAUUUCGCAACCCAUUAUUAUCUGUUUUCUUGUUUCCUUCAUCUGAGCUGCAUCAUUGUCCAAACCGAUGGAGAAAGCUAUAGCUGCUCCUAAUUCUGCAACACAAGAGGUUGUCACAGAGAGGCAUCCUUCAGCCCCAGAGGUCCUCAGACUUCACGGACAAGAGGGAAUGUGUUUGAAAGAAGUCCAAAAUGAAGGAAAUCUGUACCUUGCUGGUGGAUGGUGCAUGCUUUCUGCCUCUGGCUGCUGGUGAAUUAAUGCUGCUUCAGGUCCCUGCAUUCCCUGCUGAGGACUCAUUGGGAUGUUGAAAAGCAGCAUAGCUGACCCCGCAGAGUUGAUGCUGCUGGGAGCAGGGGUUUGAAGGUCUGCAAGAACAGCCACCACUCUGGUGGCUUCCAGAAGUGAAGCUGAGACUUGGCUCCCAGCAGAGAACUAUUU
RNAcentral lists this long non-coding RNA (1073 nucleotides) under Anser brachyrhynchus (Pink-footed goose). RNAcentral describes it as "lncRNA (ENSABRG00000016805.1)". The record is from RNAcentral. Lineage: Eukaryota; Metazoa; Chordata; Aves; Anseriformes; Anatidae.